CAGCAGCCGCGGUAAUACGAAGGGUGCAAGCGUUAAUCGGAAUUACUUGGCGUAAAGAGCUCGUAGGCGGUUUGUCGCGUCUGCCGUGAAAGUCCGGGGCUCAACCCCGGAUCUGCGGUGGGUACGGGCAGACUAGAGUGAUGUAGGGGAGACUGGAAUUCCUGGUGUAGCGGUGAAAUGCGCAGAUAUCAGGAGGAACACCGAUGGCGAAGGCAGGUCUCUGGGCAUUAACUGACGCUGAGGAGCGAAAGCAUGGGGAGCGAACAGGAUUAGAUACCCCUGUAGUCCCUGUCUCUUAUAC
This 301-nucleotide ribosomal RNA is filed under the name uncultured bacterium. RNAcentral describes it as "partial 16S ribosomal RNA". It matches the Rfam family "Bacterial small subunit ribosomal RNA", at positions 509 to 807 of the family's 1533-position model. The record is from RNAcentral.